Molecule: transfer RNA, 68 nt
Filed under: Marmota marmota marmota (Alpine marmot)
Lineage: Eukaryota; Metazoa; Chordata; Mammalia; Rodentia; Sciuridae
Also listed under: 1 other name
Rfam family: tRNA
About the family: Transfer RNA (tRNA) molecules are approximately 80 nucleotides in length. Their secondary structure includes four short double-helical elements and three loops (D, anti-codon, and T loops).
Source: Rfam by way of RNAcentral
GUGGUAGCUCAGUGGUAGAGCGCUUGCCUAGCACACAUGAGGUGCUGGGUUCGAUCCUCGGCACCACA